Molecule: ribosomal RNA, 506 nt
Filed under: uncultured bacterium
Lineage: Bacteria
Description: partial 16S ribosomal RNA
Rfam family: Bacterial small subunit ribosomal RNA
Source: RNAcentral
AGUGAACGCUGGCGGUAGGCCUAACACAUGCAAGUCGAACGGCAGCACAGAGGAGCUUGCUCCUUGGGUGGCGAGUGGCGGACGGGUGAGGAAUACAUCGGAAUCUACUCUGUCGUGGGGGAUAACGUAGGGAAACUUACGCUAAUACCGCAUACGACCUACGGGUGAAAGCAGGGGACCUUCGGACCUUGCGCGAUUGAAUGAGCCGAUGUCGGAUUAGCUAGCUGGCGGGGUAAAGGCCCACCAAGGCGACGAUCCGUAGCUGGUCUGAGAGGAUGAUCAGCCACACUGGAACUGAGACACGGUCCAGACUCCUACGGGAGGCAGCAGUGGGGAAUAUUGGACAAUGGGCGCAAGCCUGAUCCAGCCAUACCGCGUGGGUGAAGAAGGCCUUCGGGUUGUAAAGCCCUUUUGUUGGGAAAGAAAUCCAGCUGGCUAAUACCCGGUUGGGAUGACGGUACCCAAAGAAUAAGCACCGGCUAACUUCGUGCCAGCAGCCGCAGUAA